Molecule: long non-coding RNA, 1915 nt
Organism: Solea senegalensis (Senegalese sole)
Lineage: Eukaryota; Metazoa; Chordata; Actinopteri; Pleuronectiformes; Soleidae
Exons: 2
Source: RefSeq, a predicted model, not a curated record
CGAAUGCUUUAUCUCGACAGCGCCUCGAGAGAGCGCUUUUAAAUUUGGCAGAAAUGUUUCACUGUGACCCAAGGAUGAACUGACUUGAUUUUGAUAGUCAGAGUUCAAACGUCAACUCAUAAACUUAAUCCUAACUUUUGUAAAUGCUCUAUCUCAAGAACACCUCAAGAGAAGUCAUUUAAACACGGCAGAAUUCUUGUUUGUAACAUUUUUUUGAACAAACUGAAUCUGAUCAUUUAAAGGGAGGCUUUCUUCCAAGUGAUUCCACAAGUCCACGUGUAUACUGUAUGUGGCCUUCAGUGUGUUCUCUUCUAUCUUACAAACCUCCUGAGAGAAACCAUUUACAUUGGGGCGCAAAUGUUCCCUUGGAGUCAUGGAUGAAGUGUUUUUAAAGAUCAAAUGUCGUGCACAAAUCCCUGAAAACUGUUGUUGGGUGGAAGCAAACAACCUCUGGGCAUUCUUGGUUUUUGUACACUGUGCUUGAAGAUUUGCUUCUGAGCCAACUGUACCAGAGUGACACAAAGAGUUUCCAGUUAUACCCAAAUGAAAUGCUCAUUUGGCUGAAGGAGAAUCUGUAGGGAGUCAGUCCGGAUAAUCCUGCGUUUCUAGGUCCGCUGACCUCCACACAUUUAGCAGCGUUGGCACGUAGCUGGAGCUGUCAGCCCCGGCAUCUCUGGGGAGAUCUGUGUUUAAUUAGAGAAAGAGGACCUGGCCAGAUAUUCAGAGGGAGACAGAGGCAGUGGAGGGAAAAUGAAGCCUGUUAUUUUUUUUUCGUCCGUGUGAUUGAGCGCCAAGCGGACCUGCGUCGCUCUUCUGGACGAGAAGGCUGGACGUCGUCUCGAUAUGCGACACAUGUGACACGCGGACACAUUUUUUGGAGCCUUUUCGUGGCUCUGUGUGGGGAAAGAGUUGUGCAAGUGGUUGUACGUCUCAGUCAGUGGGUGUGAGAGAGGGGAGGGCCGAGGGGGAGGCGGCUGUUACCGUGAAACAGAACAGUUCAAACUCCAUGUUUGCCUUCAGAUCACUCAGCUACAGGCCUGAAAGGCUGGGCUGUUGUUUUUGCCCGACGCUGAGCGUAAUCCAUCACACUAUAUUGCGCCCAGUCAUGGAGAGUUUCGUGUCACAAGACCGAACAACUCAUCCCCACGGAUGGUUUCAGUGUAAAAAAAAACGUUCUUUCGCUCUCAGUUUGUGUGUCCGGACUUGUGCGAGGAGUGACUGGGACAAGUCAAGCUGAGGCCUGCCCUCUCCCCUCCAGCCUGGGAACCAGCGCAGCCGAUGCCUCCUCGCCUAAGUGCCUGGCUGCUCUUGCUCAGAGCAGUUCCCAUCCUACUCAUCUGUUUAUUAUUUUCCUGUGAGGGCUUGUGUUGUAAGAGGAGAAAGGAGGGGAGGAGGAUGUAUAAAGGUCAAAAUGGAAGGGAAUAUUAUCCCAUGUUUCAUUGACAGUGGCGCUUGAGACUGGGAUGAUAUUUAAAGCCAUAAAUAAACAUACAGUGUUUGUGAAAAGAACCUGUGAAACCCUCAAUCUCUGUGGCAGAUAGUGAUUGUGUUACGUUGCUAAGCUUGGAUUUGGUUUUGCCGGUGCCUGUGCUGCUCCACAGGUGUGCUUCAUGUCAAGAAGAGAUUCCAUCCCUCAUCAAGAUGCAGAAAAGAAAGCUACAAAAGACACGAGAAACCCGGACAUGUAAAGUCAGAAAUUUACUCUACAUUUAUUUCAUUGUUUAUUGUGUUGGUUAAAAUGGCAACUUUUUGUGAAUUCUGUCUCCAUGAGAUGCUAUUUAUGUUUCCUGUAUAAAUUGCUUCUGGGCUUCUCAUUGACGAGGGUCAGUUGUGUAAGAAGAUGCUGAAGAUCCUCUACAAUUGAGCUGUUCUCUCUUGUUCAAGUACAAUUUAAUAAAACUAAACCUUUAAUGCA